CCUCCUCAUUCACGAUCGGACGAUCGCGAUUAAACGCGAUGAACGACUCAUAUUCGUUCCCUCUUUAAACGCGAUUGGACGAUCGAGAUCAAACGCGAUGAAUGACCCAGAUUUGUGCUAGAUAUGUAUAAAUAUUUCGCAUCACACUAAACCCAAACCCUACCCACCAGCCUCCCACCGAAAAAGAGAACCAACCGCCAAC
Molecule: long non-coding RNA, 202 nt
Filed under: Carica papaya (papaya)
Lineage: Eukaryota; Viridiplantae; Streptophyta; Magnoliopsida; Brassicales; Caricaceae
Description: long non-coding RNA (CPAP_LNC008850)
Source: RNAcentral